RNAcentral lists this small RNA (385 nucleotides) under Melicope novoguineensis. RNAcentral describes it as "eukaryotic LSU rRNA". The stretch from base 1 to 126 matches the Rfam family "5.8S ribosomal RNA", at positions 30 to 154 of the family's 154-position model. Lineage: Eukaryota; Viridiplantae; Streptophyta; Magnoliopsida; Sapindales; Rutaceae. The record is from RNAcentral.
GCAUCGAUGAGAACGCAGCGAAAUGCGAUACUUGGUGUGAAUUGCAGAAUCCCGUGAACCAUCGAGUCUUUGNACGCAAGUUGCGCCCCAAGCUGUUAGGCUGAGGGCACGUCUGCCUGGGUGUCACGCAUCAUUGCCCCACCCUCACCCCUCUGGGGCCAGGCGGUGUAGGCGGAGAAUGGCCUCCCAUGAGCAACCACUCGUGGUUGGCCCAAAAAUGAGUCCUCGGCGACCAGAGCCGCGACGAUCGGUGGUGCAAACUUGCCUCUCGAGCUCACGUCGUGUGCCCAUGUCUUCGGUCAGAGACUCAAGGACCCUGACGCCCUGCGAAAGCGGAGCUCGCAUCGCGACCCCAGGUCAGGCGGGAUUACCCGCUGAGUUUAGC